GGGUGAGUAACGCGUGGGUAACCUGCCUACAGUACAGGGGGGAUAACAGUUAGAAAUGACUGCUACACGCAUAUAUAGCGAAACCGCAUGAUUUUUGCUAUCAAAUAUUUAUAGGUAUGAGAUGGGCCCGCGUCUGAUUUAGCUAGUUGGUGGGGUAAAAGCCUACCAAGGCGACGAUCAGUAGCCGGCUUGAGAGAGUGACCGGCCACAUUGGGACUGAGACACGGCCCAAACUCCUACGGGAGGCAGCAGUGGGGAAUAUUGGACAAUGGGGGAAACCCUGAUCCAGCGAACCGCCGCGUGAGUGAAGAAGUAUUUCGGUAUGUAAAGCUCUAUCAGCAGGGAAGAUAAUGACAGUACCUGACUAAGAAGCCCCGGCUAACUACGUGCCAGCCGCUGC
RNAcentral lists this ribosomal RNA (400 nucleotides) under uncultured bacterium. RNAcentral's name for it is "bacterial SSU rRNA". It matches the Rfam family "Bacterial small subunit ribosomal RNA", at positions 104 to 518 of the family's 1533-position model. The record is from RNAcentral.